GCGGAAGGAUCAUUAC
RNAcentral lists this ribosomal RNA (16 nucleotides) under Aspergillus flavus. RNAcentral describes it as "partial 18S ribosomal RNA". The record is from RNAcentral. Lineage: Eukaryota; Fungi; Ascomycota; Eurotiomycetes; Eurotiales; Aspergillaceae. RNAcentral also lists the same sequence under 8 other names.